This 274-nucleotide ribosomal RNA is filed under the name uncultured bacterium. RNAcentral describes it as "partial 16S ribosomal RNA". It matches the Rfam family "Bacterial small subunit ribosomal RNA", at positions 523 to 796 of the family's 1533-position model. The record is from RNAcentral.
AUACGGGGGAUGCAAGCGUUAUUCGGAAUCAUAGGGCGUAAAGGGCACGCAGGCGGUUCUGUCAGUCAGAUGUGAGAGCCCGGGGCUUAACCCCGGACGUGCAUUUGAAACAGCAGGACUUGAGUAUGGUAGAGGAAAGCGGAAUUCCUGGUGUAGAGGUGAAAUUCGUAGAUAUCAGGAGGAACACCGGUGGCGAAGGCGGCUUUCUGGACCAAAACUGACGCUGAGGUGCGAAGGCGUGGGUAGCGAACAGGAUUAGAAACCCCGGUAGUCC